RNAcentral lists this transfer RNA (75 nucleotides) under Escherichia coli. RNAcentral's name for it is "tRNA-Ala". It matches the Rfam family "tRNA". From Rfam's summary of the family: Transfer RNA (tRNA) molecules are approximately 80 nucleotides in length. Their secondary structure includes four short double-helical elements and three loops (D, anti-codon, and T loops). The record is from RNAcentral. Lineage: Bacteria; Pseudomonadati; Pseudomonadota; Gammaproteobacteria; Enterobacterales; Enterobacteriaceae.
GGGGCUAUAGCUCAGCUGGGAGAGCGCCUGCUUUGCACGCAGGAGGUCUGCGGUUCGAUCCCCAUAGCUCCACCA